Molecule: non-coding RNA, 260 nt
Organism: Pelobates cultripes (western spadefoot toad)
Lineage: Eukaryota; Metazoa; Chordata; Amphibia; Anura; Pelobatidae
Source: the annotation of a GenBank genome assembly
AGAAGUCCUGCAAGUGUGAGUUGGACAUACAGGUGCGAGCAGAGGACAGGAGAAGGUCAUGGGCAAAGCGCAGAGACAGAGAAGGGGCAUAUCUAUGAAUCAGGGAAGAAAUGUUAGAGGGGCUAGAAUUGUUUAGUGCUUUAUAGGUAUGGGUUAGCACUUUGAAUUGACUCCCAUAGGAUACAGGAAGCCAAUGUAAGGACUGACAGAGGAGUGAGGUGUGAGAGGAGCGACAGGAGAGGAAAAUAAGUCUGGCAGCA